This 130-nucleotide microRNA precursor is filed under the name Medicago truncatula (barrel medic). RNAcentral describes it as "miR5251 stem-loop (mtr-MIR5251)". The record is from miRBase by way of RNAcentral. Lineage: Eukaryota; Viridiplantae; Streptophyta; Magnoliopsida; Fabales; Fabaceae.
UCUCGGAGAAUUACAGUAGAUCUAGUUGGUGUCUUCUUGAACUUGAAAAAAUCAUGGAAAACCGUGGUACUCAUGGUCAAAUAGUUAUACCAAUAUUUUACCAUAUUGAUCCAGCCAUUGUUCGUCGUCA